UUAAGUUCAGCGGGUCUUCCUACCUGAUCCGAGGUCAACCUUGGGGUAAAUAAGGCUUUUUAACGGCCGGAAACCCGCAGCACGCCCUGAGCGAGGUGUAACUACUACGCUCGGGGUGACAGCGAGCCCGCCACUGGUUUCAGGGCCUGCGGCAGCCGCAGGUCCCCAACGCAAGCCGGGGGCUUGAUGGUUGAAAUGAC
RNAcentral lists this unclassified non-coding RNA (200 nucleotides) under Chaetomium sp. Its description in RNAcentral is "partial internal transcribed spacer 2". The record is from RNAcentral. Lineage: Eukaryota; Fungi; Ascomycota; Sordariomycetes; Sordariales; Chaetomiaceae.